This is a non-coding RNA of Vibrio metschnikovii CIP 69.14, 138 nucleotides long. The record is from Rfam. NCBI's taxonomy places the organism in Bacteria, Pseudomonadati, Pseudomonadota, Gammaproteobacteria, Vibrionales, Vibrionaceae.
UCAUCACCAUCAUCAUCCCUAGCCAGUCUUUCGGGAGAUGUACGCAUACCCGGGAGGCAGGACGCUCCCGGUGGUUAAAUCAAAAGUAUAUUUAGAUUUUAAACCCUUGGGAGAGCACUCUUCCAAGGGUUUUUUUAC